GGGAUUGCAGUGGCAAAGCUAGGCUAGGUCUUGGAAGCUGGUGUAAGGCGAUGCGGGUGAAGGCAGGAGGCUGAUGGAAAGACUGGGGGGAAGAAAAGCCGAAAUGGAUUCACGGUGCCUUGGAUGAAGGACGAGAGGGGAACUGCAAGCUCCUUCAACUGGUUCUGUCCGGUGAGAAGUGAUCAAGCUUGGGCUGACAAGAGGCUCAGGGAACCCUCACGUUCUUUCGCUUUUUUACCUGCCAAUCAAACUGCUACAAGACAACACCCUGAUCUGGCAUGGACAUGUAAAAGCAAUAGUCUUGGAAAAGCGAAUCUACCAGCAGGGGGCGCACCAGCCACAUCCCUGAAACCAGCCGCGCUGAAAAGCCGGUGGCCGCCUUCUCUUCUCUAGAUCUUCUCAACCUUUUCUCUUUCCUAAUCUCCAGGUCCGUGUUUACCUUAAUAUUACACCUCGAUUAAACAGAAAACAGUGCUUUAUUUUGAAGAGCGCCGAAUAUGUAUGCAUUUUGAGAAACCCAGUCUCACCCUUUCCGGAUACCCAGGAACUGAAGCAAGUCAUAACUUAAGAGAGAAAAAGGAGAAACUUCGGGGGGCAGGAAGGUUGAUUGGAAAUAACUUAAGGAAAGUCUGCAUAAUUCUUUUUUUUACAACUUUUCUGAGUUUCCAGCGGGUAUAUUUAGUGUGAGUUUGACAGUAACAGGCUAGGAAGGGCAGAGAUUGGAGAAGUUGGGGGUCGGGGGAGUGAUUAUGGAAGAAGGUUAGUAAGGAACAAAACAAUGCACCGUUUUGUAAAGAUAAUAAAUGGAACGUGGCUGGUAGAUACUAUUCAGUACAUUUCCUUAGGGUGAGUAAGGGUAGACCAGGGAAGGAGGGGGCGGAGAGAGUGUUACAGAAGAAAGAAAAUAAGUAACCCUGAUGGUUUAAGCCCUUUAUAAAAAAGAAAUGGCAUCAGGUUUUUCUGUUUUUUGUUUUUUUUUUUUUUUUUUCUCUAUUCCCCCCCACCCCACCCUUUGUAGUCAAGUGCAUUUUACCCACAAAGAUCCCAACAAGAGAGUGGAAGGAAACUUAGACAAGGCUUUGUUUGACUCCGUGUAGCGACAACAAGAGAAACAAAACUACCUAUUUGUAACGGACGUGCUGCCAUUGCCCUCCGCAUUGAGCGCCUACCUAUUGAAAUCUUUACGUCGGGACAAUGGGAGAGCGGCUAAAAUUACCCUCUUGGGUCCUGGGCGGGCAAGAUUCCUGAGUCCCUACCCCCGCCUCCAUCUCAUCCUCCUCUAACCCGGGCAUUGCUGGGCUCCCCCUUCCCCAGUCCCGGCCGCCUUCUCCCAGUGUGCGCUGCCUGCACCUGUGCCUGGAGAGCAUCGACCCCGCCUCCCAAGACUUGAGCCCCUUUGCGGCGCAGCCCCAGCCUUGCGCGGCCUGGGCUUUGCAGCCACCACAGUGGAAAUCGACGGGGGAAAUGCCAGGGCUGGUUCUGCUCGAGUCCUGGGAACUCUGCGUGGGAGGGAGUUUGUGACUGCGGCCCAAAAGCCACCUCCGUACAGUGCCGUGGGAUGCCAGGAAGUUGAAAUCACCCUCCCCCAUCGCCUGCACUUUUGAGCGCCCUUCCGUCUGUCUCUUUCCCCAGCCCCCAUUUGAAACCCGCACGACCGAAACCCUUCUUUCAGGGAGGCAUGGGAUGGGAAUGGGGAGUGGGGGGAGACAGUAGGAGCAUCCCCUUUGCUACGGUUGAAUGAAGACAGUCUAGUGGGAGAUGUGGCUGGGGCUAAGAGGAAGAGCUGCAGUUUCCUGGGCCAAAGAGCUGAGUUGGAUAGGGAGAUGGCAGCUUACCAAGGCCUGCCGGUUCUCAGCUCUAGAGUCGGCCUCAUGGUCCGAGCAGGAUUUAUUUUUAAGAACAGAGCAACGUUACGUGGAAGCAAGGAAGGUUUUGAGGACAGAGGUUUGGGUCUCCUAACUGCUAGUCGGGACUGUGAGAAGGGAGUGAGAGUGUUGGCACCUGUAAGGUAAGAGGGGAGAGCGGAAGAGCGCGGUACGGGAGCGGCACCAGAGGGGCUGGAGUUGGGGGGGGGAGUGCUGUGGAUGAGCAGGAGAACAAUGACACACCAACUCCUGCACUGGCUGUUUCCAGAAAUACGAGUUGGACAGCCGCCCUGAGCCACCCACUGUGCCCUGCCCCACCCCCGCACCUUAGCUGCUUCCCGCGUCCCAUCCUCAUUUCAGUACCCUGCACCAAAAAGUAAAUCAAUAUUAAGUUUAAAGAAAAAAAAAAACCCCCACGUAGUCUUAGUGCUGUUUACCCACUUCCUUCGAAAAGGCGUGUGGUGUGACCUGUUGCUGCGAGAGGGGAUACAAAGGUUUCUCAGUGGCUGGCAGGCUGGCUCUGGGAGCCUCCUCCCCCUCCUCGCCUGCCCCUUCCUCCCCCGGCCUCCCCCGCGCGGCCGGCGGCGCGGGAGGCCCCGCCCCCUUUCAUGCAAAACCCGGCAGCGAGGCUGGGCUCGAGUGGAGGAGCCGCCGCGCGCUGAUUGGUCGCUAGAAACCCAUUUAUUCCCUGACAGCCCCCGUCACAUGGAUGGUUGUCUAUUAACUUGUUCAAAAAAGUAUCAGGAGUUGUCAAGGCAGAGAAGAGAGUGUUUGCAAAAGGGGGAAAGUAGUUUGCUGCCUCUUUAAGACUAGGACUGAGAGAAAGAAGAGGAGAGAGAAAGAAAGGGAGAGAAGUUUGAGCCCCAGGCUUAAGCCUUUCCAAAAAAUAAUAAUAACAAUCAUCGGCGGCGGCAGGAUCGGCCGGAGGAGGAGGGAAGCUCUUUUUUGAUCCUGAUUCCAGUUUGCCUCUCUCUUUUUUUCCCCCAAAUUAUUCUUCGCCUGAUUUUCCUCGCGGAGCCCUGCGCUCCCGACACCCCCGCCCGCCUCCCCUCCUCCUCUCCCCCCGCCCGCGGGCCCCCAAAGUCCCGGCCGGGCCGAGGGUCGGCGGCCGCCGGCGGGCCG
This 2987-nucleotide long non-coding RNA is filed under the name Macaca mulatta (Rhesus monkey). RNAcentral's name for it is "lncRNA (ENSMMUG00000052013.1)". The stretch from base 11 to 286 matches the Rfam family "SOX2 overlapping transcript exon 3". Lineage: Eukaryota; Metazoa; Chordata; Mammalia; Primates; Cercopithecidae. The record is from RNAcentral.